GUCAAUUAUACUUCAUCAAUCUUUAAUUUAUAAAAUCGAUUAAAUUUAAUGGAUUAAAUACAAGAAUAUAUAAAAAAAUCUUUUUUUAGUUGUCGUAAAGAAUUAUUCUGCGAAAUAUAAUAAGACAAAUGAAGUUCUAAAUUUGCAACGUGAAAGAGAAUGCAGAGACUGUGUUUUGCUCUUUAGAAAGGGAUGGGUUCAUUAAUAAACACUGCUAACCGCCACCAACAUAGUUGAUUUCCCUAGAGACUGUCUUCCCCAUUCUCGUUCCAUGACCCUCUCCACUAACACAAAUGACCCAGUAAUCUCAAACAUACAAAUUGCGUUUGUUAUGUAAUUUGAUAAUUAAAUCCUUUUUUUUUGAGCUGGAAGUAAAAAAGAAUACCGUUUAAAGAAAAACCGUGUUAAAAAAGACUGACUUUGAGUAAUUGCUACGGCAAUUACCGAAUGACAUUGAUCCCCCCAUAUAGAAUUGAAUGGGGGAUUAACGAAAAUCCAUUCGAUCGCGCCCCCUUUGCAAAUUGUAACGUGGAUCGGUUACGGUUGGUGCGAUUUUUUUAUUUACCUGACAUUGAAUCUUGAUUGGAAGUUGAUCAAACCAGCAAUCAACAAAAUCCAUCAAGUAAAUAUAAAAGAUAACCACCAUCUAUCGAAAUUUCUAUAGAGAAUGAAGUUUCUUCAUGGUGUUUUAUACUUCCAAUAAAUUUCAUGGUUGUUAUACAUAAUAGAUAAAAGCAAGCGAAAUGGCACUACACAUCAAGUUUCACAUACGUGGAUAUACGUGAUAUGUAGCUUCCGGAAUUGAUAAGCCCAACAACCAAAACUGAAACACAAUCGAAACAACCAUUUCAGUUUACGAUAGUUUAUUCAAAAACGAACAAAAACCAAGCUGACGAUAAAACUUUUGAACGUUCAAAAUAUUAUACGAAUAUAUUUUGCUCACUUUUGCGGAAUAAUAAGUUUUGUUUUUAGUGGGACAGAGGUGGAGGACGUUGUUUUCUUGUGCGCAGCUAGCAUAAAUCGGAAGCGCUACGUGGUCGUUAUUUAUGUGUCGGGAACACGUGUGGGACUGAAAGUGUUUUCAAGAGGCGGUAAUAUACGGGGUUGAAUUGGAAUUUUCGUUUUUAAUUUCUUUUUUUUUGGGAGCUAUUAAAAAAAAUAAGUGGCGCUUGACGUUCCCACAAAAAUGCGAUGGAAUGAAAGAAAAUUGUACGUGUCACCCGAAAAACGUAUUUGGAGUUACGCCAAGACAAGAUUUCCACAGCAAUUUCAACAACGUUGAAACAAAAUCAUUUUGUCAUCAAGAAACCUUAAAAAGAACAAUUAAAAAUAAAUAAUGUUUUUUUUUGUUAGUAUUCUUUAACCCGUGUUAAGGCCUACUUCUUCCAGAUAUUCAGGAGCCUUCAAUAUCUUGUGUUCUUCAAAAUCUCCAUGGAACCUUACCAAAUCCUUCAAAUUCAACUCAUCCAGUUUCGGUAUUAAGAGCUCGUUCUCUCUACAUGGCUACCGCGUUUCCAGUUUCAAAAAAGUAUGGCUCAAUCACAUAUUCUGCAUACUGACUUAAUCGAGAAAAACAGCUACGCUGAUGUGGCCAGAUACAAAGAAUGAAUGGUCAGGUUAGGUCUAAAAAGUUUUGAAACUCAGAGUGCAGGAGAGAAGAAGACGGGGAUGACCGUAAUAGAGAUGGGGCGAAGUCAUGAGGUAAGCGUUAGAGAUGAGAGGAACAAAUUGGACGAAAGAUAGAAUAUUGGCGAGAAAGCAUCUGAAUGUUGUAGGGAAAUAUCUUUAAAUAUAAAGUCAAAAUUCUUUGAAGGGACCGCCGAGAAAUCUACAAUUGCACUCUUCAAUACUGUUCCUCACAACUUGGAUGUUCGACGCCGUCCCGGAGGUUUCCGAUCUCGGGUCUCAAUGUCUUCAAAUCGAAUUUUUUGAGAACUAGGCACCUAGAAGAAACUUUUUAAGCCACCUACAAGAAUGAUGAAACAUAUAUGAAACAUAGC
Molecule: non-coding RNA, 2000 nt
Organism: Onthophagus taurus
Lineage: Eukaryota; Metazoa; Arthropoda; Insecta; Coleoptera; Scarabaeidae
Source: RefSeq, a predicted model, not a curated record